RNAcentral lists this ribosomal RNA (388 nucleotides) under uncultured bacterium. Its description in RNAcentral is "bacterial SSU rRNA". It matches the Rfam family "Bacterial small subunit ribosomal RNA", at positions 28 to 418 of the family's 1533-position model. The record is from RNAcentral.
GACGAACGCUGGCGGCGUGCUUAACACAUGCAAGUCGAACGGUAAGGCCCUUCGGGGUACACGAGUGGCGAACGGGUGAGUAACACGUGGUGAUCUGCCCUGCACUUCGGGAUAAGCCUGGGAAACUGGGUCUAAUACCGGAUAGGACCAUGGACUUCACGGUUUGUGGUGGAAAGCUUUUGCGGUGUGGGAUGGGCCCGCGGCCUAUCAGCUUGUUGGUGGGGUAAUGGCCUACCCAAGGCGACGACGGGGUAGCCGGCCUGAGAGGGUGUCCGGCCACACUGGGACUGAGAUACGGCCCAGACUCCUACGGGAGGCAGCAGUGGGGAAUAUUGCACAAUGGGCGGCAAGCCUGAUGCAGCGACGCCGCGUGAGGGAUGACGGCCUC